UUGACUCAGCCUCUCCACUUUUUUGAACGGCAAAUUAGGGUUUUAAUUGAAAAUUUAAAACAAGAAACAUAAAACUAUUCACCCUUAUACAUCAUUCCAUCAGAGUCAAAGAACUGAACUUCUGCAGAAGUUGCUGGUGCGGGAUUGACGUUCUGUUUGUGCUUCUGCUUGAAAGAUGAUGAUAGGGUUUGUGGCUAAUUGGUAUCAAAAUGUGCAAAAACCGAUGGCUAAAUGGUGGCUAAAUGGUGGCAAUAUCGGUGGCUAAAUG
RNAcentral lists this long non-coding RNA (268 nucleotides) under Helianthus annuus (common sunflower). RNAcentral's name for it is "hypothetical non coding rna". The record is from RNAcentral. Lineage: Eukaryota; Viridiplantae; Streptophyta; Magnoliopsida; Asterales; Asteraceae.